This is a long non-coding RNA of Triticum dicoccoides, 618 nucleotides long. RefSeq lists it as uncharacterized. NCBI's taxonomy places the organism in Eukaryota, Viridiplantae, Streptophyta, Magnoliopsida, Poales, Poaceae. The transcript is spliced from 3 exons. The record is from RefSeq and is a predicted model, not a curated record.
CUCAUCAUGCAACAAGGUAAGUAAAGUAUUUUGUCCAUUGCUAUUAUGGUUUAUUGUUGUUUCUAAUAGCUCCACUUGUAGAUUUAUCUUCCCUAUGCAUUCAUCGGCCGAUAAAUCUUGUACGUCACCGACAAAGAGGCACGUCGUCUAUAUAUUAUGGAUCGUAUUCAAACAUCACAAUUAUCAGAGGAUAAAAAAUUGAGGCAUGCACUGAAAUUAAAAAGUUUUGUAAGGGAUUUCAAAGAAGCACUCGAAAUAAAGCUGCCUGGUUAGAAUUCUGAUAUAUCUAAAUGACAACAUUUUUUUCCGUUCGGUGUUCCAACGAGUAUAGACGGGAAUGUGUCUGGCUAUUUUGUUUUUCAUUUUAUGCUCUGGUGGAACGGUAAAGAAUUGGUCAAGCUGGUUUGCGCUGUGAGGGAGCGGUAAAGAAUUGGUCAAGCCGGUUUGCGCUGAUGGGUAUGAAUUGAGGAAGCAUUUUUUAUUAUACUUGCUAAAACAUCGUGGGAAUGAAGCUAGAGGAAACUUUCCUGAUAUCGUGAAAAAAUUUCUUAAGCACAUCAUCUAGAUAUUAAUAGUUUUAUAAUAGAUGUUCAGUUGGAACAUCGCUCAGUUUGUUAC